AUUGAACGCUGGCGGCAGGCCUAACACAUGCAAGUCGAACGAGUGGCGGACGGGUGAGUAAUGUCUGGGAAACUGCCUGCUGGAGGGGGAUCAUUACCGGAAACGGUAGCUAAUACCGCAUACCAUCAGAUGUGCCCAGCUGGGAUUAGCUAGUUGGGGGGGUAACGGCUCACCAAGGCCACGAUCCCUAGCUGGUCUGAGAGGAUGACCAGCCACACUGGAACUGAGACACGGUCCAGACUCCUACGUGAGGCAGCAGUGGGGAAUAUUGCACAAUGGGCGCAAGCCUGAUGCAGCCAUGCCGCGUGUAGGAAGAAGGCCGUCGGGUUGUAAAGUACUUUCAGCGGGGAGGCGUUACCCGCUGAAGAAGCACCGGCUAACUCCGUGCCAGCAGCCGCGGUAAUUC
RNAcentral lists this ribosomal RNA (406 nucleotides) under uncultured bacterium. RNAcentral describes it as "partial 16S ribosomal RNA". It matches the Rfam family "Bacterial small subunit ribosomal RNA", at positions 30 to 526 of the family's 1533-position model. The record is from RNAcentral.